GGCAAGAUGGCCGAGUGGUUAAGGCGGUAGACUCAAGCGAAUCAAAGCUUCACCAAUCAAGUUGGUGUUUUCUACUCUCGCAAGAGGCGUGGGUUCGAGUCCCACUCUUGUCA
This 113-nucleotide transfer RNA is filed under the name Aspergillus steynii IBT 23096. It matches the Rfam family "tRNA". From Rfam's summary of the family: Transfer RNA (tRNA) molecules are approximately 80 nucleotides in length. Their secondary structure includes four short double-helical elements and three loops (D, anti-codon, and T loops). Further hydrogen bonds mediate the characteristic L-shaped molecular structure. tRNAs have two regions of fundamental functional importance: the anti-codon, which is responsible for specific mRNA codon recognition, and the 3' end, to which the tRNAs corresponding amino acid is attached (by aminoacyl-tRNA synthetases). tRNAs cope with the degeneracy of the genetic code in two manners: having more than one tRNA (with a specific anti-codon) for a particular amino acid; and 'wobble' base-pairing, i.e. permitting non-standard base-pairing at the 3rd anti-codon position. The record is from Rfam by way of RNAcentral. Lineage: Eukaryota; Fungi; Ascomycota; Eurotiomycetes; Eurotiales; Aspergillaceae.